CCUACGGGAGGCAGCAGUGAGGAAUAUUGGUCAAUGGCCGAGAGGCUGAACCAGCCAAGUCGCGUGAGGGAAGACGGCCCUACGGGUUGUAAACCUCUUUUGUCGGGGAGCAAAGCGAGUCACGUGUGACUCAUUGCGAGUACCCGAAGAAAAAGCAUCGGCUAACUCGGUGCCAGCAGCCGCGGUAAUACGGAGGAUCCGAGCGUUAUCCGGAUUUAUUGGGGUAAAAGGGUGCGCAGGCGGAGGGGCAAGUCAGCGGUCAAAUUGCGGGGCUCAACCCCGUACUGCCGUUGAAACUGCAUGCCUUGAGUGCGCGAGAGGUAUGCGGAAUGCGUGGUGUAGCGGUGAAAUGCAUAGAUAUCACGAAGAACUCCGAUGGCGAAGGCAGCAUACCGGCGCGCAACUGACGCUCAUGCACGAAAGCGUGGGUAUCGAACAGGAUUAGAUACCCGAGUAGUC
RNAcentral lists this ribosomal RNA (459 nucleotides) under uncultured bacterium. RNAcentral describes it as "partial 16S ribosomal RNA". It matches the Rfam family "Bacterial small subunit ribosomal RNA", at positions 338 to 795 of the family's 1533-position model. The record is from RNAcentral.